Molecule: non-coding RNA, 193 nt
Filed under: Clostridiales bacterium
Lineage: Bacteria; Bacillati; Bacillota; Clostridia; Eubacteriales
Also listed under: 1 other name
Description: 6S RNA
Rfam family: 6S / SsrS RNA
About the family: E. coli 6S RNA was the first non coding RNA to be sequenced, but its function was unknown until recently. It consists of 184 nucleotides that fold into an extended hairpin structure with a large single-stranded internal bulge. The 6S RNA specifically associates with RNA polymerase holoenzyme containing the sigma70 specificity factor.
Source: RNAcentral
UCUUCCCUGCGUGGUUCGUGAUGAACUUAUUUUAAACCCACAUUUUUACUACGGGAUUACGGUCUCCCAGCGUGGUUUGCAGGCCUCCCGGCAGUAUGCCGGAAGUUGGAAGCAAUAAAGCAAUGGGGAGUAAACCCACCUGCUAGCUGUGCAGGUUCUUAAAAUCUGUUCACACGACCAGUGUGGGGACACU